CUUUACAAAUUCGAUCCAUGGGUUUUACCAAAUAAGGCACUGUUUGGAGAAAAAGAAUGGUAUUUUUUUAGUCCGAGGGAUAGAAAAUAUCCAAACGGGUCAAGACCAAAUCGGGUUGCUGGAUCGGGUUAUUGGAAGGCUACGGGUACGGAUAAAAUAAUAUCGACGGAAGGACAAAGAGUUGG
Non-coding RNA from Camelina sativa (false flax), 185 nucleotides. NCBI's taxonomy places the organism in Eukaryota, Viridiplantae, Streptophyta, Magnoliopsida, Brassicales, Brassicaceae. The record is from RefSeq and is a predicted model, not a curated record.